RNAcentral lists this ribosomal RNA (439 nucleotides) under uncultured bacterium. RNAcentral's name for it is "bacterial SSU rRNA". It matches the Rfam family "Bacterial small subunit ribosomal RNA", at positions 30 to 468 of the family's 1533-position model. The record is from RNAcentral.
AUUGAACGCUGGCGGCAUGCCUUACACAUGCAAGUCGAACGGCAGCACGGGAGCAAUCCUGGUGGCGAGUGGCGAACGGGUGAGUAAUAUAUCGGAACGUGCCCAGUCGUGGGGGAUAACGCAGCGAAAGCUGUGCUAAUACCGCAUACGAUCUCUGGAUGAAAGCGGGGGACUCGCAAGGGCCUCGCGCGAUUGGAGCGGCCGAUAUCAGAUUAGCUAGUUGGUGGGGUAAAAGCCCACCAAGGCGACGAUCUGUAGCUGGUCUGAGAGGACGACCAGCCACACUGGAACUGAGACACGGUCCAGACUCCUACGGGAGGCAGCAGUGGGGAAUUUUGGACAAUGGGCGAAAGCCUGAUCCAGCAAUGCCGCGUGCAGGAUGAAGGCCUCGGGUUGUAAACUGCUUUGUACGGUACGAAAAGGUACCUUUCUAAUUAAA